RNAcentral lists this ribosomal RNA (506 nucleotides) under uncultured bacterium. Its description in RNAcentral is "partial 16S ribosomal RNA". It matches the Rfam family "Bacterial small subunit ribosomal RNA", at positions 29 to 523 of the family's 1533-position model. The record is from RNAcentral.
AUUGAACGCUGGCGGCAGGCCUAACACAUGCAAGUCGGACGGUAGCACAGAGGAGCUUGCUCCUCGGGUGACGAGUGGCGGACGGGUGAGUAAUGUCUGGGGAUCUGCCCGAUAGAGGGGGAUAACCACUGGAAACGGUGGCUAAUACCGCAUAACGUCGCAAGACCAAAGAGGGGGACCUUCGGGCCUCUCACUAUCGGAUGAACCAAGAUGGGAUUAGCUAGUAGGCGGGGUAACGGCCCACCUAGGCGACGAUCCCUAGCUGGUCUGAGAGGAUGACCAGCCACACUGGAACUGAGACACGGUCCAGACUCCUACGGGAGGCAGCAGUGGGGAAUAUUGCACAAUGGGCGCAAGCCUGAUGCAGCCAUGCCGCGUGUAUGAAGAAGGCCUUCGGGUUGUAAAGUACUUUCAGCGGGGAGGAAGGCGAUAAGGUUAAUAACCUUGUCGAUUGACGUUACCCGCAGAAGAAGCACCGGCUAACUCCGUGCCAGCCGCCGCGGUAA